Molecule: ribosomal RNA, 433 nt
Filed under: uncultured bacterium
Lineage: Bacteria
Description: partial 16S ribosomal RNA
Rfam family: Bacterial small subunit ribosomal RNA
Source: RNAcentral
AACGAACGCUGGCGGCAUGCCUAACACAUGCAAGUCGAACGAGACCUUCGGGUCUAGUGGCGCACGGGUGCGUAACGCGUGGGAACCUGCCCUUAGGUUCGGAAUAACUCCCCGAAAGGGGUGCUAAUACCGGAUAAUGUCUUCGGACCAAAGAUUUAUCGCCUUUGGAUGGGCCCGCGUUGGAUUAGCUAGUUGGUAGGGUAAAAGCCUACCAAGGCGACGAUCCAUAGCUGGUCUGAGAGGAUGAUCAGCCACACUGGGACUGAGACACGGCCCAGACUCCGACGGGAGGGAGCAGUAGAGAAUAUUGGACAAUGGGCGAAAGCCUGAUACAGCAAUGCCGCGUGAGUGAGGAAGGCCUUAGGGUUGUAAAGCUCUUUUACCCGGGAUGAUAAUGACGGUACCGGGAGAAUAAGCGCCGGCUAACUCCGUG